RNAcentral lists this ribosomal RNA (253 nucleotides) under uncultured bacterium. RNAcentral describes it as "partial 16S ribosomal RNA". It matches the Rfam family "Bacterial small subunit ribosomal RNA", at positions 524 to 776 of the family's 1533-position model. The record is from RNAcentral.
UACAGAGGGGGCAAGCGUUGUUCGGAAUUACUGGGCGUAAAGGGCGCGUAGGCGGCCAACUAAGUCAGACGUGAAAUCCCCAGGCUCAACCUGGGAACUGCGUCUGAUACUGGAUGGCUUGAAUUCGGGAGAGGGAUGCAGAAUUCCAGGUGUAGCGGUGAAAUGCGUAGAUAUCUGGAGGAAUACCGGUGGCGAAGGCGGCAUCCUGGACCGACAUUGACGCUGAGGAGCGAAAGCUAGGGGAGCAAACGGG